GGAGUGAUGCCCGAGUGGCCGAAGGGGCUCCCCUGCUAAGGGAGUAUNNUCGAGGGUUCGAAUCCCUCUCACUCCGCCA
Molecule: transfer RNA, 79 nt
Filed under: Pseudomonas sp.
Lineage: Bacteria; Pseudomonadati; Pseudomonadota; Gammaproteobacteria; Pseudomonadales; Pseudomonadaceae
Description: tRNA-Ser
Rfam family: tRNA
About the family: Transfer RNA (tRNA) molecules are approximately 80 nucleotides in length.
Source: RNAcentral